Molecule: long non-coding RNA, 459 nt
Organism: Protopterus annectens (West African lungfish)
Lineage: Eukaryota; Metazoa; Chordata; Ceratodontiformes; Protopteridae
Exons: 5
Source: RefSeq, a predicted model, not a curated record
AUCUGAAUCCUUUCACAUAUAUUCAGAAUAAACUCUUUGAAGCAAGAGGGAUUUGCUGUAAGGAAGAAACAUUUGUGCUUCAAUAAGAGUUUUCACUGGAAUUGUAUAUUGCCACAGAGAAUUCCUUAAGUGCCUCUGGACAGGUGGAAUCUAUGCUUUGCAGAUUUCUUCAAGGUCCUGCUUUACAAUUUGUGAAAAGAUUGAGUAUGAUCUCUUGUGGGAUUGCUGUAACCAUUCCUGAAGCCUAGUCUGCAGUUUGAAUGUUGUUGUGCACACCUUUAUGUACAGUCUAACGUCUUAUCAGAGAUACAAUUCAUUGAUUCCAACCGCUUCCACUGAGAUGGGCCAUUGUUAAUGGAAUUGCAGUUCCUUACAUAAAUAACAUCUUCUACUAGAUCCUGAUAAACCAAUAUCCAGAGGUUGGAUACACCUUGACUUACAGCAAUCUAUUCAGAAGGU